ACGCUGGCGGCGUGCCUAAUACAUGCAAGUAGAACGCUGAAGGAGGAGCUUGCUUUUCCGGAUGAGUUGCGAACGGGUGAGUAACGCGUAGGUAACCUGCCUGGUAGCGGGGGAUAACUAUUGGAAACGAUAGCUAAUACCGCAUAACAGUAGAUGUUGCAUGACAUUUGCUUGAAAGGUGCAAUUGCAUCACUACCAGAUGGACCUGCGUUGUAUUAGCUAGUUGGUGAGGUAACGGCUCACCAAGGCGACGAUACAUAGCCGACCUGAGAGGGUGAUCGGCCACACUGGGGCUGAGACACGGCCCAGACUCCUACGGGAGGCAGCAGUAGGGAAUCCUCGGCAAUGGACGGAAGUCUGACCGAGCAACGCCGCGUGAGUGAAGAAGGUUUUCGGAUCGUAAAGCUCUGUUGUAAGAGAAGAACGAGUGUGAGAGUGGAAAGUUCACACUGUGACGGUAUCUUACCAGAAAGGGACGGCUAACUACGUGCCAGCAGCCGCGGUAAUACGUAGGUCCCGAGCGUUAUCCGGAUUUAUUGGGCGUAAAGCGAGCGCAGGCGGUUAGAUAAGUCUGAAGUUAAAGGCUGUGGCUUAACCAUAGUACGCUUUGGAAACUGUUUAACUUGAGUGCAAGAGGGGAGAGUGGAAUUCCAUGUGUAGCGGUGAAAUGCGUAGAUAUAUGGAGGAACACCGGUGGCGAAAGCGGCUCUCUGGCUUGUAACUGACGCUGAGGCUCGAAAGCGUGGGGAGCAAACAGGAUUAGAUACCCUGGUAGUCCACGCCGUAAACGAUGAGUGCUAGGUGUUAGACCCUUUCCGGGGUUUAGUGCCGUAGCUAACGCAUUAAGCACUCCGCCUGGGGAGUACGACCGCAAGGUUGAAACUCAAAGGAAUUGACGGGGGCCCGCACA
RNAcentral lists this ribosomal RNA (910 nucleotides) under uncultured bacterium. RNAcentral's name for it is "bacterial SSU rRNA". It matches the Rfam family "Bacterial small subunit ribosomal RNA", at positions 33 to 927 of the family's 1533-position model. The record is from RNAcentral.